This 252-nucleotide ribosomal RNA is filed under the name uncultured bacterium. RNAcentral describes it as "partial 16S ribosomal RNA". It matches the Rfam family "Bacterial small subunit ribosomal RNA", at positions 525 to 776 of the family's 1533-position model. The record is from RNAcentral.
ACAGAGGUCUCAAGCGUUGUUCGGAUUCAUUGGGCGUAAAGGGUGCGUAGGCGGCGCGGUGAGUCGGGUGGGAAAUCUCGGAGCUUAACUCCGAAACUGCAUUCGAUACUGCCGUGCUUGAGGACUGGAGAGGAGACUGGAAUUUACGGUGUAGCGGUGAAAUGCGUAGAUAUCGUAAGGAAGACCAGUGGCGAAGGCGGGUCUCUGGACAGUUCCUGACGCUGAGGCACGAAGGUCAGGGGAGCAAACGGG